AUUGAACGCUGGCGACAUGCCUUACACAUGCAAGUCGAACGGCAGCACGGGUGCUUGCACCUGGUGGCGAGUGGCGAACGGGUGAGUAAUACAUCGGAACAUGUCCUGUAGUGGGGGAUAGCCCGGCGAAAGCCGGAUUAAUACCGCAUACGAUCUACGGAUGAAAGCGGGGGACCUUCGGGCCUCGCGCCAUAGGGUCGGCCGAUGGCUGAUUAGCUAGUUGGUGGGGUAAAGGCCUACCAAGGCGACGAUCAGUAGCUGGUCUGAGAGGACGACCAGCCACACUGGGACUGAGACACGGCCCAGACUCCUACGGGAGGCAGCAGUGGGGAAUUUUGGACAAUGGGCGAAAGCCUGAUCCAGCAAUGCCGCGUGUGUGAAGAAGGCCUUCGGGUUGUAAAGCACUUUUGUCCGGAAAGAAAUCCUUGGCCCUAAUACGGUCGGGGGAUGACGGUACCGGAAGAAUAAGCACCGGCUAACUACGUG
This 486-nucleotide ribosomal RNA is filed under the name uncultured bacterium. RNAcentral describes it as "partial 16S ribosomal RNA". It matches the Rfam family "Bacterial small subunit ribosomal RNA", at positions 30 to 507 of the family's 1533-position model. The record is from RNAcentral.